GGAGGGGUGGCUGAGCGGACGAAAGCGGCGGUCUUGAAAACCGCUGUCCCUUCGGGGACCGGGGGUUCGAAUCCCUCCCCCUCCGCCA
RNAcentral lists this transfer RNA (88 nucleotides) under Candidatus Brocadiaceae bacterium. Its description in RNAcentral is "tRNA-Ser". It matches the Rfam family "tRNA". From Rfam's summary of the family: Transfer RNA (tRNA) molecules are approximately 80 nucleotides in length. Their secondary structure includes four short double-helical elements and three loops (D, anti-codon, and T loops). The record is from RNAcentral. Lineage: Bacteria; Pseudomonadati; Planctomycetota; Candidatus Brocadiia; Candidatus Brocadiales; Candidatus Brocadiaceae.